GGUUACCAUACAAUCACCGAAGUUAAGCAACGUCGAGCCUGGACAGUACCUAGAUGGGUGACUGCCUGGGAAUACCAGGUGCUGUAAG
This is a non-coding RNA of Acanthosepion pharaonis, 88 nucleotides long. The record is from the annotation of a GenBank genome assembly. Lineage: Eukaryota; Metazoa; Mollusca; Cephalopoda; Sepiida; Sepiidae.